This is an RNA transcript of Euleptes europaea (tarantolino), 1438 nucleotides long. It is a transcript of the gene named heterogeneous nuclear ribonucleoprotein D, with no coding region annotated. The record is from RefSeq and is a predicted model, not a curated record. The transcript is spliced from 9 exons. Lineage: Eukaryota; Metazoa; Chordata; Lepidosauria; Squamata; Sphaerodactylidae.
AUGUCGGAGCAGCAGUUCGCCGAAGAUGCAGAGGCGGCGGAGGCGACGGAGCCGACGGAGCCGCUUGAGGGAGACGCGGGGGGCGCCGAAGGGGGCGAAGGCGACGGCGCGGAAGGGGGGGGCGGCGGCGGCGAGUCGGAGGGCGCCAAAAUCGACGCCAGCAAGAACGAGGAGGACGAAGGGAAAAUGUUCAUUGGAGGGCUUAGCUGGGAUACUACGAAGAAAGAUUUGAAGGACUACUUCACCAAAUUUGGUGAGGUUGUGGACUGCACCCUGAAGCUGGAUCCUAUCACUGGUCGGUCAAGAGGUUUUGGCUUUGUGCUGUUCAAGGAAUCUGAGAGUGUGGACAAGGUUACGGAUCAAAAGGAGCAUAAAUUGAACGGCAAAGUGAUCGAUCCCAAAAGGGCUAAAGCGAUGAAAACAAAAGAGCCAGUUAAAAAGAUUUUUGUCGGGGGCUUAUCUCCAGAUACACCUGAAGAAAAAAUAAGGGAAUACUUCGGAGGUUUUGGUGAGGUGGAAUCAAUAGAACUUCCUAUGGACAACAAAACCAAUAAACGUCGUGGAUUUUGUUUCAUUACUUUCAAAGAGGAGGAGCCAGUGAAGAAGAUUAUGGAGAAAAAGUACCACAACGUUGGUCUUAGUAAAUGUGAAAUAAAAGUAGCCAUGUCAAAAGAACAGUAUCAGCAGCAACAGCAAUGGGGGACUCGGGGGGGAUUCUCUGGAAGAGCUCGCGGACGAGGUGGAGGCCCCAGUCAAAGCUGGAACCAGGGGUACAAUAACUACUGGAAUCAGGGCUAUGGCAACUACGGAUACAACAGUCAGGGCUAUGGUGGCUACGGAGGCUAUGACUAUACUGGCUACAACAACUAUUAUGGAUAUGGAGACUAUAGCAAUCAGCAGAGUGGUUAUGGGAAGGUAUCCCGGCGAGGUGGUCAUCAAAAUAGCUACAAACCGUACUAAAUUAUUCCAUUUUGCAGCCUAUCCCCCGACAGCGGGAACUUCCUUGCAGGCCCUGUUGUCGCGCUGACUUCCCGAUUCUCACAGGCCCGCUCAAUGCGGACAGGGUACGAGAUGCUCACGCUCUCGAAUGCGGCCGUUUGGUGGACAAGCAGUAUUCUCAUUCGAAGAUUCAUUUUGAGGCGGCUCAGGCUGCCCGCUUAAUAGCAGUUCAAACUAAAAAAUUUUUUGUAUCGAGUCCCUGAAUUGGAAGUAACAUGUUGGUCCCUCUGAAGUUUGCGUUCUCAUUACAACAGAAUUGCUUUCACUGUCUUUAUUAUUUUUUUUAAUUGCUAUGCUUAAGAAUAAAUUUGACUUACCCCCCCGGCCCAUUUUGUCCCCCAGUAUUGUAGAGCACGUCUUGUGUUUAAAAAAGCCCAGUGUGACAGUGUCAUGAUGUAGUAGUGUCUUACUGGUUUUUUAAUAAAUCUUUUUGUAUAAA